RNAcentral lists this ribosomal RNA (252 nucleotides) under uncultured soil bacterium. Its description in RNAcentral is "partial 16S ribosomal RNA". It matches the Rfam family "Bacterial small subunit ribosomal RNA", at positions 26 to 287 of the family's 1533-position model. The record is from RNAcentral.
AGGAUGAACGCUGGCGGCGUGCUUAACACAUGCAAGUCAAGGGGGCCCAGCAAUGGGCAACCGGCGAACGGGUGCGUAACACGUGAGCAACCUACCGAAAUGUGGGGGAUAGCCGGCCCAACGGCCGGGUAAUACCGCAUACGCUCGAGACCAGGCAUUUGGACUCGAGGAAAUUUACGGAGCAUUUUCGAGGGGCUCGCGGCCUAUCAGCUAGUUGGUGAGGUAACGCUCACCAAGGCUACGACGGGUAGC